GGCUGGAUCACGGGGGUGGGGCCUGACGGGAGGUGGCUGGAUCACGGGGGUGGACUUCUCAUGUUUUAGUACCAUCCCCUUGGUGCUUCCUCGUGAUAGCAAAGGGGCGAUGGAUCCUGCUUCUCGGGUCUGUAUGAGAUGAGAUGAAAUGACAAUUCCUAAUAUGGAUGAGGAAGUGGAGCAACAGAGACUCCCAGGCUGCCAGUGGAGCUGCUGUGGAGAAUGGUUUGGCAAUAUUUAAUGCAUGCCCCAGAAAAUCAGUAGUCCCAUUUCCAGGGGAAAGCAUGAACACAGCCCCCAUGACCACAGAUGACGCAGCCGAGUUUCCCACUUUUGGGGAAAUUGCAGGGGUCAGCACGUCUGGAGUGCAGUGGAUAAGCCUCACCCCAGGAAGACCACUUUCGUGAUCACGGCAUCUCCCCUGCCAGGUGAGUACGCUGAUCAUUUUUAGUCUGGGUGAGAGGCUCUCUCUACUUUUGUGUAUGUUUGAAAUUUUCUGUAAAGUUUUUUUUUUUUUUUUUUCAGACUGAGUUUCGCUCUUGUUGUCCAGGCUGGAGUGCAGUGUUGUGGUGUCGGCUCACUGCAACAUCCGCUUCCUGGGUUCAAGCGAUUCUCCUGCCUCAGCCUCCCAAGUAGUUGGGAUUACAGGCAUGUGCCACCACACCCGGCUAAUUUGUAUUUUUAGUAGAGACUGGGUUUCACCAUGUUGGCCAGGCUGGUCUCAAAACUCCUGACCUCAGGUGAUCUGCUGCCUCGGCCUCCCAAAGUGCUAGGAUUACAGGCGUGAGCCACCACGCCUGGCCAAAGUUUUUUUUAAAAAAGAGAAUCUGCAGGAAGAACAGGUCUGGAGUCAGUUUUCACCUUGCAUCAAGCGCAUGUUCCCUAGCUCCUUUUCACCAAAACCUGUCCCCCUAGUUGUGGAUUGGACCAUCCCCAUCUACCCUUUCCUAUGCGCUCCUGUGCCUGUAAGAUAGGAUGACAGCAGCCUGUUCCCAAACCACAGAAGAGAUGGCUAAUGAAUGGAAUAGCCAACCUUUGGGCGUGGGAGUAAUCAUUCAAAAAAAUGUGGGGGGCUGGGGAGAUGCCAGAAUGGGCUUUCCAGUGAAGCAAAGACAGCCCCUGCCAGGGAGUCCCUCUCACCCCGGCGGCCAGGACCUAAGAUCUACCAAUGCCAAGAAUCCACUGAACUUUGCCUCUCCCCAGUUCCAACCGGCCUGGAAGCUUCCUCCACCUCCACACCCCCCGCCCCCACUGGGCUGACAGCCCAGUGCGACCCGUGGCCUCAUGUUCUCUCUUCCCUACGUGGCUGAGGCUGUCCCCACCUUGCCUGGAUCUCCUGCCUGGCACUGCCUGCGCAUGGAGAUGCUGGAAUGCCGGUUGCUAAGCCAGUGCAGAGUCCACACUGGCUCCUGGCAAGCACUGCAUCGAGCUGCCCUGCUGCUGCAGACGCAAGAUCCUCCACGUGUGGGACUGUCUCCUGCUCCACCAUGGCCCUCCUGGCUCUCGCUCCUCUCCGGCAGCCCACUUACCUGCCCUUGGAUUCUGGAGUCCCCCAAGCUGGCUUGGGAGCCUCUUUUGGCCUGGGUUGAGCAACCUACAAUCUCAAGCACACCUUGGCUCCCAAAACCAGCCUCCGGGGAGAGCCUCCCGUGUCCACCUCCCACAGGAUGUCUGUGCUGGGCCUGCAAAGCCGAAUGCCUACUUUGCCCUUGCAGUUGGAUGUCAACUCGCUUCACCUGUUCCAGGCCUUACUACCCUCCUUCAGACGGUCAGUGAUCUGCAUUUUAGCUCUUGGCACUGUCAUCCCACCAGAGAAGCAGUCAGGGACCUUGGACUCAGCCCCGCCCACAUCCACUCCACCUGCGAGCUCUGCCGACGCCACCCCACAAACCUCUCUGGGACAGUGCUCCCACCUCCCCACUCCACGCCACCAUCACUGCCCACUGAGAUGACAGUAAAGCCCCCACCCAUCAGCCCCCGGCCUGGAAGCCCUUUCAGAAUUGCAGUGGGAACCCUUCCCUGCCUAACCCACCAGCGGCCCCCCUUUGCUGUUGGGAUUUGGAAUAAAGCCCUUAACAUGCCCCCCGUGCCCUGCCUCUCACAAACUGCCCUGGACUCCUGUGCCCCUACCCUGUGCUCUUGAAUUUCCCUCUCAAAAGGGUUUUGUGAGUGUUGGCCUCAGCCUCCAGUGCCUCUCUCCCCGCUCUCCCGGGUCAUUUCCUUCUCUUUCUGCCAGGGAAACUUUCCGGAGUCCCCAUACUCACUCGGGUCUUCCAGUUAGAUGCUCUCAAUUCCUUCCUGGCUCAUAUGGUGGUCAUCUAGCACGCGGCUGGGCAUGCGUUCUGCUAACCUCUGGCUCUUCUGAUGCCAUGUAGGCGCCCCAGGGCAGGCACUGGUGUGGUUUUGCCCGUCCUUAUAUUCCCAGCGCCCAGCACAUGUCAUUAAGACAAGUUUGGAACAAGUGCCUGUCUUGGGGAAGUUAUUUCCUUCUCCAAGCCUCAGUGUAUCUAUCAAAUAGCCCUGCUUUCCCUGCAGGCUGUCACAAGCCUACAAAAUCCCCCAAACAAACACCCGCAGAAUGACAGAUGGCCUCCCUGCCCUGGUAGUGUCACUCUUCAAAUCAACUUCCCAGGCCCUGGAGGCAGGCGGCAGCAGGCUGUCAGCCUUCAGAGUCCCCAGAGUGAGACAGGGUCUCAUUUUGUCACCCAGGCUGGAGUGCAGUGGUCUGCUCCAGGCUCACUGCAACCUCGACCUCCCAGGCUCAAGCAAUCCUCCCACCUCAGCCUCCAGGAGUAGCUGGGAUUACAGGCACAUACCACUAUACUCGGCUACUUUUUAAAAUUUUUGGUAGAGAUGGGGUCCUGCUGUGUUGCCCAGGCUGGUUGUGAACUCCUGGGCUCAAGUGAUCCUCCCACCUCAGCCUCCCAAAGUGCUGGGAUUACAGGCUGGGCCACUGUGCCUGGCCUCUUUUAUAAUUUUCUUAACAUUUUAUCUUCUCUAGCUUACUUUAUUGCAAGCGUGUACUAUAUAAUACAUAUUGACAAAAUAUGUGGAAAUUGUUCUCAGUGAGGCAUCCAGUCAACAGUAGGCUAUCAGUAGUUAGGUUUUUGGAAAGUAAAAAGUUAUACAUAGAUCUUUGACUGCGUGUGGGGUCAGCACCCCUAACCCCUGUGUUGUUCAAGGGUCAACUGUGCUCUUUUGCAAGCUUUGAAGCAUGUGAACGCCAGCACCUACCCUGUUCUUGAGGAAAUCCAGCGUUCCCUUGAUACUUGACCUUAUCUAAACAGGACUGCCACGGAGACUUUACUCUGCAAAAGCAACAAUUUCAUCUUCACAAAGUUUCAAAUGGUAAAUAAAAAAAAAUCCCCUGAGGGCUUUUUGUUCACUGGAAAAUUCUCUCAUGCUAACAAACUUAAUUAUUGUAACUACAAAUAAAUCGUAAUCUUUCCUUUC
Molecule: long non-coding RNA, 3453 nt
Organism: Homo sapiens (human)
Lineage: Eukaryota; Metazoa; Chordata; Mammalia; Primates; Hominidae
Exons: 3
Source: RefSeq, a predicted model, not a curated record